UUUCUCUUUGAAUUCUAGCAUAUCCAAUAAAGAUGCAAUCAAUACCUUUUCUCAUAAUGUCUUUCGUUUAGGAUUUUGGAGGCGACAAUGAUAGCUCGGGGUUUCUUUGAUUAAGGUAAACCCACUCUUAACCUUCAGUUCAUCUCGUCUUCCUCCCUUUAUCCUAGAUUCGGUUGGAUUUGAUUUUGUAACAAGAGCGAUGAUUCUCUCUUAGCAGUCGAAAAUCCGAGGGCGAUGAAGGCCAGAAUCCGUCGCUGGCCAUGGAUUUUCCUCCGAUCUACUCUCUCAGCAUUUGACUGAAGAAUACGGAUGGUGAGUCGCUCAACUCUCCCUAAUCUUAAUCAUCUCUCGCUCGAAUGCUUAGAGGUUGGAUGAUGAUAUUAGUAAUGAUGCUUACUAGCCUCUGUACAGCAGCCUCCACUGCCCUUAUGUGGGUCUCCCGAUUCACAGUCGUCACCCUCUUUCUCCUGGAACCCUCAUCUGCGAAUUUCAUAGUCGCCGUUCCAUCCCAAAUUCAAUACUAAAUCGAAGAUCCCAGCUCUUGAUUGCCUUCGCCUCUCGACUCCAUCACAGUUGCAUCGGGACGCGAUCAUGCAUAGAUCGAUUCCCUCAUUUUAAGGUAAGCUCGGUUUCCCCCUCUGCUUGCAAUGAUUCUAAUUUGAACUAUGAUCUUUCUAACGAUCCUCGCCUCUUCUUUCCCAGUUCAGUUCGAUGUGGAAAUUCCGCCGGUAUCUUGGAGGGUCAAAGGCUUUACCAGCGACGCCAUGUCAGGUCUGAACUUGUACUCUCGUCAGUUUUUUUUAUUUAGAUUAAUCUUCUCUUUGAAGGAUUUUACGGUUAUUUCCCCAGGUGUGUAAAGAACACAGCGGGUUUGCUGUUCUAGUUGAUCAAGCGAUGUGUGCGGUUCUCAGUGAUCCUGAAAAAGAACAAGGUAAUGUAUUCUACGCUCUUCCUCUCCUCUCGAUUCCUAUCCCGAUGUAUCUAUGUAUCUCUGUUAUGAAUCCCUUCCUACCUUCUAAUUUUUCAAUAGGCUAUUCGAAGUGAAGAAGGCUGGUUAUGGACCAGAGGGAGCACGAGGAAUGGAGGACAACAAAACUUGAUGUCUGAGGGCUCCAUGAAAGUGAGGAAGGGGGGUCGAGAUUUAACUAGGGGGCGAAACUAGAAGGGCGGCCAGACAAGGUCAACAACACAGAGGUAAUACUCAAAAUUAUAAGCUCGGAUAGACAUGUGAUCGAGUAUUGCUUGUCCUUCUCAGCAACAAAGACUCGUGUGUAUUUUAUCGAGAUAAAAUUGGUCUACUUAGUCUUGAUUGGAAUGUCGAUUUGGCUGUUCAGGACAGGAGCAACUAAAGUGUGUUUGCAUCCAUGUUUUUUUCAUGGAAUAAAUAUACUAUCCUAUCUCAUUAAAGAAUCUAUGAUUACCAUGAUUCAUGUAUGCAGGCUAGGACUCGUAAAACCAAUGUUAUUCAAUUGGGCAUUCAUGAGUUGGCAUUAACCCAUCAUAUGUAUUUGCCAAACAAUCUGAAUUGCAUGUUUUGAUAUGACCAUCGUGGUGAAGAGCGAAGCUGGACCAAGAGAAGAUGAAGGACCAGGAUCGAGAACCUAGAAUCAUCAUGAAAGACCAACACAAAAAGAAGAAACAUAGAAAAUAGUACACAAUAAUAGUCAAAGGGAGUCCACAAUUUCCAAACAAGCAUCCAAAAUAACAAACAUCCACAAACUGUCAUAAAACACAACACAACACAAGUCUAGUCACACAAAAGAAACACAAACAAACCAUCAAGUCUAAAAAAAAGAGAGAGAGACAAAGGAACAUCACUCGAACAAUGGUGGAGGUGGUGGUGGCUGCUAGGAUGGGAAAUGGGGAUAAUACCCAUAGUAGCUUACCUCCGCGCUCAGAUGGUGGUAAUACCAUUGAUGUCCAUCUCUCGAAUCUUGGAAGUGGUCUUGUGGUGGGGGAGAGUAGUCGGGAUAGUGUUGAGGAAGUAAGAGUACACGUUCUGAUAUUUGGCCAUGUGGCCAGUCUGCCAACCCUACUUCUGUUGGAUCCAGUGCAUCUCCAUCUAUACUAUCUGAAUCUACUCCCCAACCCUCUAGAAAUUGCUACUCGUCUCACCUCUAAAGGCAUCAAAGUCGCUUCAUAACCCACUCAUAUCCUGUCUGAUGUACCCCAACUGCUCAUCAUGUGACUUCCUGAACUACUUAUCUCUCUGUGCCUCAUACUGAGCUCUCUCAUCAGAACACUAUUGAUGGAUAGCAAGAUGCUCCAUGACAGCCUGCAGAUCGGACAAAUACCCGAGCUGAAGUUGCGGUGUCGAUCUCCUUAACAAGCAAGUCCUGAACUCCAUUCCUUAGUAAUUAAUCCGGGUAGAAGUCAUAAGGUGGAGUCUCGAAGAUGCCCAACACUCCAUAAUUACGGACUGACAAGCUAACAUACCCUCCUUUGUAUAGUACGACAUGCAUUGAGUAGCUCUUCAAUUGCUUGAAGAGAGUGAGAACCAAGUCUCCCAAAUGCAUAUCGAUCUUAUCCUAGCAAUAGAAGAUGUACAUGUCUCGGUUAGUGAGCGCACUUGGAGAGCUUGAAGACGAACGGUGCGAGAUACCGUGGCGAGCAAACAGAUGGAUGAGACGAAGCAUUGGCUUGUGGGUUCGCAGCGCCUUAAAGACCCCAACUACAAACUGAGGCGCGUCUUUGAUAAUGCUACACCAAAAACCCUGCACAUCAUAGAGGGGGAGUCCGGAAACCAUGGCAAGACAAGCCAGCUUACCAUUGUUCAGCUCCUCAUUUGAAUGGAACCUGAGCAUUACCCCAAACUCAUGUGGGAACACUGUGUACAGCCUCCCUCCCAAGCGGAAGGAGACCACCCUCUGAGAGGUGGAAGUGUAUCUCCCGAUGUCAAGUGUGUAGAAGAACUCACGAACCGCGCGAGGAUAUGAAUACUCCUUCACCAUCAUCGCCCUCCAAAUAUUCUUGGUCCUCUUGUAAUAGGAAUGAAAGGGGAACAAGCCUGCUAGUUAACUCCUCAAAAACUAAGUGCCCCUGUUUGGAAACAGAAAGGUGUUGGAGAGUCGCAUAGAGCUUCCAAGACAUAAAGCAUCAAUCGCGAGGUUUUACGGAUCGACGGGCUCAGUAGGAGCUUCAAACAUGUGGUACUGCUGAGGUGGAACUGCAGGUGAGGAAGUACCUUGAGUCGUUUGCCCUGAGGAAGAAGAAUUCUCAUUUCCACUAUGCCUCUUGUUACACUUGGUAGACUUACCUUUAGGAGACAUCCUGAAAAAUAGUCAGCAAAUGUAGACUGCAAAUUGGGAAACAGGAUUCGGGAUUUCCCGUUUCCGUUCCCGUAUUAUUGAAAAAAAACUCGGGAAUUCCCAUUCCCAUUACCAAACUCAAAAUUCGGGUUUGGUUGGGGAAUAAAAUUUCAUGUUCGGUUUUUUGGUUCGAUUCUGGGAUUCCCAAAAUCCCAAAGUUUCUUAUUAUUUUCUAUUAUCGACAAAAGAAAAAACAUCGUAUAAGAAAUGAUUGAUUCAUACGUUAGGGCAUAGCUCAUUUUCGCUUCAAGACUGAAAUUACGGUUCGUGAAACCGAGAGGCCGAGAGUCCCCAUGUCCCUCAAUGGUGAUUCCCGAUGAUUCCCUCGACGGUUCAACCCCUCCUCUCUAGGGUGGCGAUUCCCAGUCUAGACGUCGGAUUCUUCUUCUUUUGCUACGAUGAUUCCCAACGAUUCCCUCAUUGUUCUGGAAUCUGAUUUAAGGUGAGAACACAUCUCCAACCCACUAUGGGUUUUAUUGUGAGGUUUUGAUUGUUUCUUAUUUCUUUGCGUAACAGUGGUCAUCGUCGAUUUGUACAGGUGCGGCUGUUGAUUCUGCGAACACACCUCUACUACUUUCGUCGGUGAACAACAUUCAAUUGAGGUGUGAAUAAUGAUUGAUUUAUGCUCCACUUUGGUUUUUGAUUAACUCUACAAUAGCUUUCUAUCUGCUAUCUCAAUUGUAAAAUCCUGCCAAAAGACAUUACAUUACAAGGAUGGCUUGUAAAAUCUAAGAAUAUAUGCUAAUGGCUUCAGUUAAAAUCAGGGUGAGUAUUGAGCUUGCUUCACUACUGUCUAUUGAAUACUCAGAACUGAAUUUUGGUCUUUCUUCAUCCCACUUAACUAUCUCCCUCGCAUAUUUAAGAGAUGAGUUGAUAGUGUCAGAUGCUAUAGAUUAUAUUGAUCCUGGGCCUAGUCGAAUAUGAUAAAGAUGAAGAGGGUGAAAAUGAAUAUGUUGAUUCUGUAAGUAUUCUUAAAUUUAUUUAUAGUUAGUAGAAUGGAAUAGUGCUCGAUAUUGUGACUGUGACUGAAUUCUGGCUGUUUGUUUUUCAAUUCUAUUUCUUGGUAUUGCAAUGGUUUUGCAUCACUCAUUUAAGAUAUAUGAGACUGUUGCAGUUUAUAGUUUCAAAACACAU
Molecule: long non-coding RNA, 4442 nt
Filed under: Linum usitatissimum (flax)
Lineage: Eukaryota; Viridiplantae; Streptophyta; Magnoliopsida; Malpighiales; Linaceae
Description: long non-coding RNA (LUSI_LNC003024)
Source: RNAcentral